UGAAUGCCAUUAGUCUUUCAAAUUCGGAAGCUUCCGCAUAUGGGCCUGAAGAACAUAACAAUAUGACCAAGAACAACCUCAACUUGGAACAACUUGAAGAAGUCAUCUGGAAACUUAAAUGAUCCACCUGCAGGAAACCAUGAUUUGGAGGAUAUUAAGCAAUGGGUAAGUAAAAGCAAAGCUCUCAGAAUGAUUACAAAGUGUUUCACCGCACAACAGAGUUUCAGAACUUCUAUGCCAUAAAACAAAUAUUCGUUUCAGGCGAAGGUAAUUCACAGUAUAUACAAAGAUUAGUGAAGACUCGAGAAUAAGAUUUGGAGGGAGUUAAAUACGCAUAAAGCAUGAAAAGGAAACACAAUGACUGAAUAUAUUAUUGUCGAACCAGAAAAAGAAAUAUUCAAAUGCACAUACUAGUUUAAACUCAGACGUGUGGAUGCUCAAAUGCAUUCAGUAAAGGGCUUCAACGAGAGCAUAGAAGAAAACUCAUACGUAUCAGCUUCAAAUCGACUACUUAUUCAAGGAACACGAAGAUUACCAGAAAAGAGAGAGAGCAGAAGAAAUAUUGACAUAAUGUUCACCAUUUCAUCACGCUAGAGACUUGUGUAUUGUGUAUUGUCAGUUCAAAACUGCAAAAGUGAGAUUUUACAAGAAACUGAGCCAGGUAGAGUGGGAGAAAUUCACCAUCCUCCAUGCCUUUCUCAGUAGAGUUGGUAAGAGUGUCAGUGACAGUACUCCAAAGUCAAAAUAAAUGUGACCCGCCUACAUAUCUCUCAAGGCAUUAAAAGACUAAACAGAGUUUAAUUAUCCAGCCGAAGUGAUUGUGCGUGAACAGCAGAAACAUCAAAGUGAGCACUUGCAAUAAAGAUUUAUGCGUUUAAUUUCAUUUCAUUAGCGAGCUCUACUCUGCAAUUUCAAAAUGCAGCUGGCAUGACAGGCAUAGUGACAAACGUUACGAUCUCGUAGGCCCCUCCAUUUUCAAGGAAAUUACUGGGUUCAGAUUCAGUUUUUGUUUUUAACUUUUUGCCAGCUAUGGUUUGGUUUAGAUUUCUUGAACACGAAAUGGGCCAUCUGUGAACUUUGUAAUCUCCGUCUGAUCAGAACAUGGCAGAGUGAUGAGUCCUUUCUCAUGCGAUUUGCAAGUAAGCUGUGUAUUUAUAGAAGCUCUUUUGUAUAAACCGACACGCGACCCAUAUGGGGUUUUUAUUUUCC
This is a long non-coding RNA of Mangifera indica (mango), 1209 nucleotides long. RefSeq lists it as uncharacterized. NCBI's taxonomy places the organism in Eukaryota, Viridiplantae, Streptophyta, Magnoliopsida, Sapindales, Anacardiaceae. The record is from RefSeq and is a predicted model, not a curated record. The transcript has 3 exons.